UAGCGUAGCUAGGCUAUGGGAUGCUUUCUGGUGAGUGGGACGAAGUCUUAGGGGUCAAUUCACUGCCGUGCUUGAGCUGCAAAUUCCUUCAUUAAUUCAUCAUCUCAAACAUGCAUAUUUAGCGAUUCUUGUAUUGUAAUUCCCAUCCUCUUUUGCCCAAUUAAAUUGCAGUGAACAGUUGGCGUUCAUAUCGAUCGCGGCUGUUUCUAUCUUUCCGUUUGUGGCCUUGUAUUUCCUGUCUCAUCCCGCUGUUUCUGCUCUUGAUAACAGCAACAAUAAUAUCAAGAUUAUAAUUUCAUGCCCGCGUGGGCAGCUCAGUUGGUCAAGAAGGGGGCUUAAAGUGCCUUCCGUAGUGAAUCUUGGACCAAGACUAAGAAUUGAGUCUCGCAAGCGGCAGUGUGGGGGUACCUCUCUCCAAAGUGAGGGGGGCUUCUUGUGCACGGUGAGCCCGGGUCUAGCCACUGCGUCCGGCUAGGUCACCAUGAUUAACUCCCCCACGUCCUGUCGGGCCGGGUGUGAGGGGCGCCCGGGGUGAGCGAUUUCACCUUUUGGACCAAGAUUAUAAUUUCACCAUUUUUUUCUCCCCAUGAGCGUAGCACAGAUGGUUCACAGGGUAAAAGAUGACACCCAAAGAUGCAGGUUCGAGUCAUGGCAGCCGCAGUGUGGGAGUUUCAACCUCUUGUGGGGUGGUUCCUUGUGGGCACUAUGCACUGUGCUUCAUACUUGGAGCCCACCGUGUAUCGUAAUUAACUCCUCCCAUGUACAUAGAAUAAUGUGUGAGUAGCUCUUAAGGUGAGAGAUUUCACCACUUGCACCCAAGAUUAGUUGUCCCACGUCGUUUCGCUGCGGAAAUUCCGGACCACAGCUUUAUUUUCCUCUCUCCAAUAUCAACAAUCCCCAGUGCGGGCUGUGCACUGUGAUUUGCGGUAAUCACGAACAUCCUGUAUCAUAUAUCAAUUUUGGAAGUGAAGAAGAAUUUCAGAUAAUUGACAUCUCAUCCACGCCCAGCGGUAACGGCAGUGUUACAGUCGUCCAUGACCCAGAGUUCACAAACAGUUUACUUGCCGGCGAUUGCAGUGGCAUAAGGAAUUUCAGCAUACCCAAUUCUCCUUCUAUUUCCUUCACUAUCCCUCACAAUCUCACCCUCUUCAGGUGCAGGAAAAGCUCUCCACUUAGCCCUCCCGCACAUGAUGAGUAUUUCAACUACACAGGCUGUGAUGAUUUCAAUUUGUACUACAAGAAGCAUUUACCAGAUGAUCAUCACAACGUUUCUGCUUCUGCCGAUUCUUUCCAAGGCUGCGACACCAUUCUUCUGCCUUUGACUUCGACGCCAUCUAAAACUAAAACUGAACCUGGGCCAAACCUCAAACUGAUCCUUCCCUUAGGUUGUUUGAUGUUAAAGAAAAAGAGGAAAAUGCAAGCUUGGGGUUGGAAGCUCUUGGUGUAUAUUUCCUUUAUUUUUGUUGUAAAGAUAAUGCUUAAAGAAGCCUAGGCAUGUGCUUAUUUUAAUUGUGAUCUUAUGGCUAGGAGAGCCCAAUUGUUGUAUUUAAUCAUGUGUGAUAUUUAUUUUGGAAGUUGUUAUGUGAGCAACAAUAAGAUGUGUAAGGCUCAUGUGUGAGAUGGAAGGAAAUUUUGAUGUAUGUUGUGUAAUAUUCAAAGAUGUGGUUUAAGCCUUAUUUAUGGAGAA
This is a long non-coding RNA of Diospyros lotus (date-plum), 1687 nucleotides long. RefSeq lists it as uncharacterized. The record is from RefSeq and is a predicted model, not a curated record. The transcript has 3 exons. Lineage: Eukaryota; Viridiplantae; Streptophyta; Magnoliopsida; Ericales; Ebenaceae.